GACGAACGCUGGCGGCGUGCUUAACACAUGCAAGUCGAGCGGAAAGGCACUAUUGGGGGUACUCGAGUGGCGAACGGGGGCGUAACACGGGAGUAACCAGCCCUUGCUUCCGGGAUAACGUCAGGAAAGUGGGGCAAAUACCGGAAAUGAAUCCUUGCAGCAUGGGGGGGGUUGGAAAGCUCUGGCGGCUUUGGGCGGAUGCGCGGCCUAUUGGCUUGUUGGGGGGGUAGUGGGUUACCAAGGCAUGGACGGGUAGCCGGCCUGAGAGGGUGACCGGCUACAUUGGGACUGAGAGACGGCCCAGACGCGUACGGGAGGCAGAAGUGGGGAAUAUUGCACAAGGGGCGGAAGCCGGAUGCAGCAGCGCCGCGUGCGGGAAGACGGGCUUCGGGUUGUAAACCGCUUUCAGCAGGGGCGAAGCUUGUGGUGACGGUACCUGCAGAAGAAGCACCGGCUAACUACGUG
RNAcentral lists this ribosomal RNA (465 nucleotides) under uncultured bacterium. RNAcentral describes it as "partial 16S ribosomal RNA". It matches the Rfam family "Bacterial small subunit ribosomal RNA", at positions 28 to 507 of the family's 1533-position model. The record is from RNAcentral.